CUUUAGCUAAACAAGUAUUAAAGGUCCCGCCUGCCCAGUGAAAUAUUUUAACGGCCGCGGUAUUCUAACCGUGCAAAGGUAGCGUAAUCACUUGUCUUCUAAAUAAAGACUAGUAUGAACGGCUAAAUGAGGACAAAACUGUCUCUUAUGACUAAUCAGUGAAACUGAUCUACCAGUACAAAAGCUGGUAUUACUACAUAAGACGAGAAGACCCUGUGGAGCUUAAAACAAACCACUACCCCAUAAGACCCCUAGUGUACUGUUUUAAGUUGGGGCGACUUCGGAACAAAACAAAACUUCCGAGCAUGGAUCCACCACAUCAAACCAAGGCCUACAAGCCAAAACAAAAACUGACCCGGCCCAAGCCGAUCAACGAACCAAGUUACCCCAGGGAUAACAGCGCUAUCUUCUUCAAGAGUCCAUAUCGACAAGAAGGUUUACGACCUCGAUGUUGGAUCAGGACACCCAGGUGGUGCAGCCGCUACUAAAGGUUCGUUUGUUCAACGAUUAACAGUCCUACGUGAUCUGAGUUCAGACCGGAGAAAUCCAGGUCGGUUUCUAUC
RNAcentral lists this ribosomal RNA (563 nucleotides) under Eutropis multifasciata (many-lined sun skink). RNAcentral's name for it is "partial 16S ribosomal RNA". It matches the Rfam family "Bacterial large subunit ribosomal RNA", at positions 1820 to 2642 of the family's 2925-position model. The record is from RNAcentral. Lineage: Eukaryota; Metazoa; Chordata; Lepidosauria; Squamata; Scincidae.